UUGGUACUAAGCCAUGCGAGUCGUUGUAGCAAUACAAGGCGGACGGCUCAGUAACACGUAGUCAAUCUACCUUAUGGACGGGGAUAACCUCGGGAAACUGAGAAUAAUACCCGAUAGAUCAUAACUCCUGGAAUGGUUUAUGGUCCAAAUGAUUUAUCGCCAUAGGAUGGGACUGCGGCCCUAUCCACUUUGUUGUGUGGGGUAAUGGCCCACCAAGGCUAUAACAGGUACGGGCUCUGAAAGGAAAAGCCCGGAGAUGGGUACUGAGACACGGACCCAGGCCCUAUGGGGCGCAGCAGGCGAGAAACCUUAGCAAUGGGGCGAAAGCACGACUAGGUUAAUCCGAGUGAUUUCUGGCUGAAAAAAUCUUUUGUCAGUUCUAAAUCUACUGGGUGAAAUAAGGGGUGGGCAAGUCUGGGUGUCAGCCGCCGCGGUAAUACCAGCACCUCGAGUGGUUAGGAGGUUUAUUGGGCCUAAAGCAUCCGUAGCCGGCUCUGCAAGUCUCCGGGUAAAUCCAUCUGCUUAACAGAUGGGCUGCCGGGAGAUACUACAUAGCUAGGGAAGCGGGGAGGAGGUAGACGGUAUUCGGUGGGUNGGGGUUAAAACCCUCUGUUCC
This 616-nucleotide ribosomal RNA is filed under the name uncultured archaeon. RNAcentral's name for it is "bacterial SSU rRNA". It matches the Rfam family "Archaeal small subunit ribosomal RNA", at positions 38 to 648 of the family's 1478-position model. The record is from RNAcentral.